Molecule: Y RNA, 112 nt
Organism: Pongo abelii (Sumatran orangutan)
Lineage: Eukaryota; Metazoa; Chordata; Mammalia; Primates; Hominidae
Rfam family: Y RNA
About the family: Y RNAs are components of the Ro ribonucleoprotein particle (Ro RNP), in association with Ro60 and La proteins.
Source: Ensembl
UGGUCCAAAGGUAGUGAGUUAUCUCAGUUGACUGUUCACAGUCAGUUACACAUCAAACUCCUUGUUCUACUCUUUCCCCUCUUCUCACUACUGCUGUUGUCUAAAAACUUUU